AACCUACUGCAGGUAGCAAACAGCAGUGCCACAACAAACAGUGGAGUGCUGACCAUGCAGUACAGAAGGUGGCUGAGGAAGCAUCUUCAAAAGGCAGUGCUACAAGGAUGUGAGCAGCAGUUUCCCUUCAACGAACGGGUCAAACUCAUGGAAGCCACGUGCCUGCUGCUUCUGGCCUACACAAACAUGCAGCCACCAUAGUAAAGUUCUUGCAAAGACAUUCUACACGAACUUGCCCAAAGGCGGAAGGAAGGCACGCACAGAUGGACGCACAGAAAUCAUGGGGCUGCCGUAGAAGCUGUGAAUGAGCAUUAACCUACGUACAGAAAGGAGCGAAGUGGAGCUGUCCAUGGGCCGUGCACACAGUUUCAUAAGCGGGCUUGCAACACUUUUGACAAAUAUGUUCCUGAAUACAUCUGCCAAAGUGGCAUUUAAAGAAGCA
Rhipicephalus sanguineus (brown dog tick) is the source of this 442-nucleotide long non-coding RNA. RefSeq lists it as uncharacterized. The record is from RefSeq and is a predicted model, not a curated record. The transcript has 4 exons. NCBI's taxonomy places the organism in Eukaryota, Metazoa, Arthropoda, Arachnida, Ixodida, Ixodidae.